Molecule: ribosomal RNA, 236 nt
Filed under: uncultured bacterium
Lineage: Bacteria
Description: partial 16S ribosomal RNA
Source: RNAcentral
CUGCUGCCUCCCGUAGGAGUCUGGGCCGUGUCUCAGUCCCAAUGUGGCCGGCCAACCUCUCAGUCCGGCUACUGAUCGUCGCCUUGGUGGGCCGUUGCCCCACCAACUAGCUAAUCAGACGCGAGUCCAUCCCAGAGCGAUAAAUCUUUGGCAGUCAGAGCCAUGCGACCCAACUGCAUUAUGCGGUAUUAGCAGCUGUUCCAGCUGUUAUUCCCACUCCAGGCAGGUUACUCACG